CAGGGUAUUAUAAAGACGAAGGGCAUGAGAUGUCACCCAGCCUGGGGCCUCAGGGAAGGCUUUUCUGCUGGGACCUCAAAGAAGCAGACCCCAAGAUGAAACUUCUCGUGCAGGUGAUUUAUUAAGAAAGGACCCCCAAGAGAAAGCAACCGACAGCGAUGGCUCAAGAUUGGUCAGGAGACCCAAUUCUGCCCAAUGGGACCUGGGCGGGCUCUGCCGGAGAGCUUCGGGGACAUGUCUUCUCCUAAGAGACGGUCACAGAAUGGUACGGACUCUCCUCUUUCCCUCAACACCGUGGUGCUUGGGUGUGAGCCCUCAGAACUGCAGCUCUUUCAACCGACCUGAGGAUAAGAACCAACACGGAGAUCGCCAAAGCGAAGAGGUGGCCUGAACCCGCGUCCUGCGUGGCAUUGUGGAGUCAUCAUCAGCCGUCCCAGAAGCUCUCCCUACCCCUACCCCGUCUCUGAUGUGAGAUGAUAAAGAUCCUUUUUGCUUAA
Felis catus (domestic cat) is the source of this 497-nucleotide long non-coding RNA. RefSeq lists it as uncharacterized. The transcript is spliced from 3 exons. NCBI's taxonomy places the organism in Eukaryota, Metazoa, Chordata, Mammalia, Carnivora, Felidae. The record is from RefSeq and is a predicted model, not a curated record.